Molecule: transfer RNA, 75 nt
Filed under: Staphylococcus aureus
Lineage: Bacteria; Bacillati; Bacillota; Bacilli; Caryophanales; Staphylococcaceae
Description: tRNA-Gly
Rfam family: tRNA
About the family: Transfer RNA (tRNA) molecules are approximately 80 nucleotides in length. Their secondary structure includes four short double-helical elements and three loops (D, anti-codon, and T loops).
Source: RNAcentral
GCAGAUGUAGUUCAGCGGUAGAAUACAACCUUGCCAAGGUUGGGGUCGCGGGUUCGAAUCCCGUCUUCUGCUCCA